GAGUUUGAUCUUGGCUCAGAUUGAACGCUGGCGGCAUGCCUUACACAUGCAAGUCGAGCGGCAGCACGGGAGCUUGCUCCUGGUGGCGAGUGGCGAACGGGUGAGUAAUGCAUCGGAACGUAUCCUGGAGUGGGGGAUAACGUAGCGAAAGUUACGCUAAUACCGCAUAUUCUGUGAGCAGGAAAGCGGGGGACCUUCGGGCCUCGCGCUCUUGGAGCGGCCGAUGUCGGAUUAGCUAGUUGGUGAGGUAAAGGCUCACCAAGGCGACGAUCCGUAGCAGGUCUGAGAGGAUGAUCUGCCACACUGGAACUGAGACACGGUCCAGACUCCUACGGGAGGCAGCAGUGGGGAAUUUUGGACAAUGGGGGCAACCCUGAUCCAGCCAUGCCGCGUGAGUGAAGAAGGCCUCGGUUGUAAG
RNAcentral lists this ribosomal RNA (418 nucleotides) under bacterium enrichment culture clone ALO1_GLFRUDD03FSAYX. RNAcentral's name for it is "bacterial SSU rRNA". It matches the Rfam family "Bacterial small subunit ribosomal RNA", at positions 9 to 429 of the family's 1533-position model. The record is from RNAcentral.